GCCCCCUCCCUCUGGCUGGCACAUUCCACUCCCUUCAGAGGGGAGUUUUAUGAAUGUACCAAGAGACUAGUGUUCAUUGUAGCAGAAUUGCAGUGCACUGGACUGUACAGAACUGGGUAGCAUCCACACUGUCUAUGAGGGUGCGGUCCGGCUGCACUGAAAGCAACAACACUGACAGAUAGAGAGAGAGAGAGAAGGAAUAAGACAGAAGAGGAGGGAGAGAUAUCACCACAAGAGGAAUACAGCAAGGGAUGAAAGGAGACACCCCUGUGAACAGCACCAUGAGUGUCGGUCAGACCAGGAAGCUGGUGGAACAGCUUAAGAUCGAAGCCAGUUUUUGUCGAAUCAAGUCUAUGGGACAGUCACAGGCCUCCCGGUUUUCAUCAAAAAUAUCUUAAAUUGUGUUCCGAAGACGAACAAAGCUUUUACUGGUUUGGAACGACAUGGGGGUGUCUAAGGCAGCAGCGGACUUGAUGGCCUACUGUGAUGCCCAUGCAUGUGAGGACCCUCUCAUCACCCCUGUGCCCACUUCAGAAAACCCGUUCAGGGAGAAAAAAUUCUUCUGUGCUCUGCUCUGAACAGGACACCGGAAGGGCAGAAUUAGUCUCAUUUAGAUGACAAUGAUUUGUGUACACACAUCACACAACACUCGACGAGACACGACACAGAAAAAUAAAUCCCAAAUUAAGCUUUAAUAAAUGCAAAGUGGUUUCCAAAUUUCAGCAGCUGACAGCGCCAAAUUUACAAAAUCAUUCUCGUGAGAAUAUUUUUAUUCUCCUGUUUUUUUUGGGGAAACCUUGUUCCUUUUAAUUAAGGGGACAAAAUAACAUCAAGAUUGAUACAAAUUGAUUAGAUGAAAUCACACACUGAUACACACAUAUGCAAGCACAGUUUUUUAAUUAAGCAAAAGGUAAUAGGUGCGGGUCUGGAUAUUUCAAUGAUUUCAAAUGUUAUUAUAUUCAAGACAUUGGUUUUGUUCUUCACAUAGCAUACUAUGGUGAUUUACAAAUUCUUUAUGUAUAUUUAGAUUUUUUUUUAAAUGUUUUGUUUGAGGUGGCUAUGUACACUGGUAGACAUUUCUGAUGAACUGGUAGAGCUUUUAAAGUUUAAAUCAUGUGAGAUGAUGAGACUGCUAAUACCUACACACAAAUACCACCAGUACAUAACGCUCCUAAAGGGAUUUGUUAUGUCCUAAAACCGAUUUAAUUUUUCUGACCACUUAAACAAGAGGUAGAGGUAUCAAGUCUCUAAGAGUUGGAAAUUAGCUUAAAAGAUGAAUUAUUGGAGAAAAAUGUAAAGAGAAUAUCUGUCAAAACUUGUGGUCCCAAGUAACAGAUUAAAUAAUGCAGACAGAAUCCAAUGAAGGAAUGAAUAAAACUUUUAAACACAACACACUUAUGUGUACCACUUAUUGAGAUUAAGGAGAAAAAAAUAACUCACUAUUGUUCUUUUUGUUGUUGUUGAGGAAAUUAAUAAUUUUAUUCAGCAAGGACAAAAAAUAAUAAGUGACAUUAGGUUUAUGUUACAAAAGAUUUCUAUUUCAAAUCAAAAUUUAAAUAAAAUAUACUUUUUAACUUUCUAGUCAUCAUUCUAGGAUCACCAUUAUUACAAAAUUAAGCAGCACAACCGUUUUCAACAUUGAUAAUAAAUGUUUCUUGAGCAGCAAAUCAACAUAUUAGAAUGAUUUCUGAAGGAUCAUGAGACUCUGAAAAGUGGAGUGACAACUGCUGAAAAUUCAGCUUCACUAUCCCAGAAAAAAAUUACAUUUUAAAAUAGAAAACAGUUAUUCUAAAUUGUAAUAAUUUCAUAAUAUUACUAUUUUUACUGAUCAAUUAAAUGCAACCUAGGUGAGUAUGAGAUACAUCUUAGUCUUUCAAAAUAAUUAACUACCACAAACUUUUUAACAGUAGUGUAUGUUCAUGAUUUGUAAUAAUCCAAAGCAAAACAGGUAAUUCCACUUCUGUUACAACAGGUUGAGCUGGAUUGGUAAUAAUGUUUUUCAUUCCACAUCCUCACCACACACCCUAUCAAUUACUACUUUUUGGACAAUUUGUUCAAAAAGAAAUAAAAUGCAAAACACAAAAAGGUUAAUAAAAAAAAAAAUAGUAGAAUCAUAAGAAUAUUUAUGAAAAUUUCUUACACCAUUCAUGCAGCAUUUUAAACAUCUGACAGCAGCAAAUGCCAAUCAAGAUGUGAAUUAAGUGGCUACACUAUGCAGAAUGAAUCAGACCACGCAUCUUUAGGUACACAUGCACACUUAAAACAAAUCCAGAUUUUUAUUAAGGCAAUUGUGGCUUGGGAGCAUAAAAACCAUAUCACAAAAUGACACCAUUAUGCAUCUGAUCAUUUGAAUAAUACAUAUUAAAGAACAGUGACAAGUUCACAUAAACCUUUAAAAGUGGCACAUUUUGGACAGUUAGUUAAAACCUUCAAACAUCAUAAACAGAGAUCUUGGCAAAUGUGUAUUUGGAUACUGCAUAUGCAUGGAUGACUUUGUGUCACACCCCCAAAACUAAAGAUCCAGUGUGAAUGAUGUUUGAACAACACAAAAUAAGCUGUUAUAUUACAAGUGUACCCAUCUGAAGACCUUCUAGUGUGAUAAUUCUAUGCUAAGAAUUAAUAUCAAUACAUCCAAAAAAGAUGUACGAAAAGACAAAAUGAUAAAGUGAGGUAAAUGUAUUCCACAUACAAGUGUAGGUGGGGGGGGCUGUGAAUAUACAACAACAACUAAAAAAAGUCAACUACAGGAAUGAGUCACACCACUCUCUCAGACAGCUAUAACAGUCGCCUUGCUGUUUAGUGUUGGCUCCACAAGUAUCCUUCAACCAUUCCCGAAACAACUCUUCAUCUUUCUUCAGUACCAAGAACUGUCCUAGAACAACAUAUGCC
This is a long non-coding RNA of Cyprinus carpio carpio, 2889 nucleotides long. The record is from Ensembl. Lineage: Eukaryota; Metazoa; Chordata; Actinopteri; Cypriniformes; Cyprinidae.